Long non-coding RNA from Zea mays, 387 nucleotides. RefSeq lists it as uncharacterized. Lineage: Eukaryota; Viridiplantae; Streptophyta; Magnoliopsida; Poales; Poaceae. The transcript is spliced from 2 exons. The record is from RefSeq and is a predicted model, not a curated record.
CCUCCCCUUUCUUGGCCGCCUCACUUUUCCCCUUGGCUGGUCGCCCCCUCUCCCCCCAUUGCAUCAGCCCUCCAAUACUUCUUCCUCCCUAGAUCUCCCCCCACGCAACAACGAUCGAGAAGAGGAGAAACAAGAUGGAUUGAAGAGGAAGAGAGGAUCAAGGAGAUGUGCUACCCCCAUCUCUUGCAGAUUUUUCUUAGGGAAAACCCUAGGUGCUUGUUGCUCAUCAAGGGAAGUGGGAAGUAGCAGCACAUCCACCUUCACUCUUAUAAUAACGUUGCUUAGGCGCAGUGAUGAUUUAACUAGAAGCUUCUUGUAAAAGGAUGUUUGUUUCUAACUAGUUGUGCGCACUGGAUAAUUUAGCUCAUGCCGUUAUGGUUGUCUUCC